CUGUGAUCCUUUCGUUUGAUGCCCAUCAUCGCUUUUUUCUGGAUGCCUUUGUCAAAUUAUUUUUCUUGCGACUAGGCACAACGUCAACAGGUCUGAGAUUAGAAUCUAGAUCUAGACCUUGAUAGCGCCUGACCAUGCCGAAAAGAAAACGACGUUCUGCAGUUGGAACCCCUCGCACUCGCAAAGAAUCUCCUUUUGGCACGGCCCCCUGGGUGGAGAUAGACGGACAGACCUAUGCACAGUCAAUCGCCAUCGCGGUCUACUUCGCCAGACAGUAUG
Molecule: long non-coding RNA, 279 nt
Organism: Aplysia californica (California sea hare)
Lineage: Eukaryota; Metazoa; Mollusca; Gastropoda; Aplysiida; Aplysiidae
Exons: 2
Source: RefSeq, a predicted model, not a curated record